ACCAUUCAAUCGAUAGAUCAGAAAUAUCUAUGACUCCGUAUCAUCGAACAAAACAUGUAAGAAUUAUCUGUUUGAGAAUCGAAUCAGUAUAUCAAAAUAUAUGCCUCCGUAUCAAUAUAUACGCUUUCAUAUCAAAAUUUAAUAAUAAUAUUUUAUUUUUUUAUUAUAAGAUACUGAGAUAUCCGAUUCUCAUCCAUCAACUACUGA
Molecule: long non-coding RNA, 207 nt
Filed under: Elaeis guineensis (African oil palm)
Lineage: Eukaryota; Viridiplantae; Streptophyta; Magnoliopsida; Arecales; Arecaceae
Description: long non-coding RNA (EGUI_LNC005312)
Source: RNAcentral